Aethalodelphis obliquidens (Pacific white-sided dolphin) is the source of this 2856-nucleotide long non-coding RNA. RefSeq lists it as uncharacterized. The transcript has 5 exons. NCBI's taxonomy places the organism in Eukaryota, Metazoa, Chordata, Mammalia, Artiodactyla, Delphinidae. The record is from RefSeq and is a predicted model, not a curated record.
GAGAAGGGCUGUGGACGUGAGGCAGGCUCCCGGGCUGCACCACGCACUGGCUCAGUCUUUUCACUGAUUCCAGGAGACGAACGAAGAGGAUGGCUUUGCAGUCGGAGGCCACUGCCAGGGGCAGAAGAUGGAGAGGGUGCUGUGGCUGGCCGGCUGGUGUCUUGGGAAGCAGAAUUGAGGCCAACGGCCCAAACUGGGGGAUAAGACGAGGAAACGACAGGGCGAUGGUGAGGACGGCGCAAGGAGAACAGAACAGCAGUGAAACAGAAAGCAAGGCCAUCAGCUGUGAGUGAGGACGUGGAAGGAGAGGUCGGGACACAUACGAGGAUCAGUGAGCAGACUCAGGACUGACCUGAGGUUCGUGGUCAAAGAGCACUGCAAACCCUGAGCUCCAUGAACGCAGGGACGGCGUCGGCCUUAUUCACUGCUGUAACACAGCACCCAGCAUGCGUGCCAAGCAACCAGCUCCACAGUAAUUCUCAGGACAGCCCUGCAAGGUUUGUUCUGGCGGCCAUGUUGAGAGUAGACGAAGAGACCAAGAGUGGAAGCUGGGAGGCCAACCAGAGGCCACUGCAAUAAUCCAAGUGAGAGAAGAGAGAGGCUUGGACCAGGGCAGUAGCAGGGAGUGUGGUGAGAGUGGUCAGAUCCUGGAAAUAUUUUGAAAUUCAAACCAGUGGGAUUUUCUGAGAAUCUGAAUAUCAGGUUUGAGAGAGAGAAAGUCAAGGUUGGCUGCAAGGAUUUUGGCUUGAAAUCUUGAAAGAUGGUUGCCAUUAACUGACAUGGGGAAGCUGUGGGUAAGGCAUUUUCGUUUUCAUGUUCAAUGGGAGCUCCGUUUGGACAUGUUGGUGUGUAAUGUCCACUGGACACUGGACAUCCAAGUGGAAGUGUUGAGUGACUUGGAUAUAAUUUUGGGAGUCAUGGGUGAAAAGAUGUCACUCAAGCUAUGAGAUCAUACAGGGAGUGGGUCGAGAUGCAAAAGAGAAGGGGUUCAGUAAUAUUUGUCAAACAAAGCACGCUGGGCAUGGGCCUCCCCACUGGACGUAGGGGUGUCUCCCUAAUGGCCUGGGCCAGAUCCAUUCUUACAUUCCCCGAGCACUCACCUGUUGCAGGGAAUGUCACUGAUCUCCAGAAGCCCCCCACCCUUGGUGUUUCAGAAUCAUAAAUACAGGGAUACUCAAAUUUAAACAAUCACAUCAAAAACCUACAUUUUCAAGAGAGAUAAAGUAGGGGGUGAUAAUAGGUUGUAUGAAUGAGUCCCCACAGACCUGCUAUCAGUCAAGCUUCACACACAGCCCUCUCGGGCAUUUCAAACAGGAUCCUGUCUGUAAAAAUAAGGCCCCAGCUUUUAUCAGUGCCCCUGUUGUUCAAAGGGUCACCGGUCCCCAAGCGGAGAUAUGCAAAGGUCACCUGCUCACACCACCCCGUGGGAAUGUUACCUGCCAAGCUGCCCAUCCAGGCGCUCUGUGCCGCAGAAGAGGAUGAGAGCAGAGCAGGGAGGGAGGAAGCAAAGCUUUCUCUGCUUCUGGGCCCUGUCCCCCUGCACCACUUGUGAGUCCCGCCUGUCACUGAAUUCUCUCCCUCUCCCAGUCCUAUGCAGACGGAGGCAUGCCAUCACAGGAAGACACUAAAAGAGUUUGCCUUUUCAGAAAUUACUCUAGUUUGGAGGCCUUUUUUAAAAGCACCUGUGCUGUGGUAGAAGGAACACUGGAGUGAGAGGCCCUCCAUCCUGGUUCUGCCAGGAACCAGCAGGUUGGCUUCGGGAGCAAGUUUUACCUACUUGUGCCUCAGUCUCCUCAUCUGUGAAAUGGGUAUCUGAGUGCCCCAUGAGGUCAUUCUGAGGGUUAAAGGAGUUGAAAUGGGUAAAGUACACAGAAGAACGUCUGUCACAAAUUAAGGUAUAUUUUAUUUCAUGUUGUGUUAGCAAUAAUAUAGCUCUUGGUUGCUGUUAUUAUUGUUGUUGUUGAAUUGACCCUGCCAAUUAGCUUUGUGAUCUUGGGCAAGUCGCCCCACUUCUCAAAGCCCUCAGGCUCCUGUCCUCGGAGGUGCUCUCACAGUAGUCCGUGAACAGCCCUCCCUUCCAGGCUCUGAGAGUGGGGAAAACUCCACAGCCGCACAUUUGAGAGGCCCGGUGACCGCUGAGGCCCUUACAGGAAGUGUGAUGGCACUGUCAGAAGGGGGGGUAUCCGCACAGGAGGUGAAGGGGCUGGGAGGUGGCAAGGCUGCCCUCGCUCCCCUUACUCUGUUUCCCUUUCCCACUGGAACACGGGUAUCUUCUCCAGUCCCCCCACUUCUCCUUUACACCCUGAGUCCCUGCAAGAGCUGUACAGAGUGCUCUGAACAGCCUAUCCUGGUGGUGUUCUUUGUCUACAAUUUCAAGAAAACAAUCACAUGUCAUCUGUUUAUUCCAGGAAACAGGUUCCGUAGUGACGAGAAGCCCCAAACUUCUGAGAAAGAGUCUUUGUUUACAACAUUUGUAGAGUCUUGCUUAUGUUUGCAUUUCCCCUACUAGUAAUAGUUUUGGCACUCCAUCUCCUGCUGCAUGCAAGUGCACUACCUGAGCCCGGGUGCACCUUGCCAAGUUGGAAGGGAAUUGCUUAUAGGCAGCCCGUAGGAAUCGUUGGGUUCCUGGGGCUGUGCCAGCACGGGAAGAGGGAAGUAAAGGAAGAAAAAGUAAGAGAGCCUUGGGCUGGGAAUCAGGAGCACACCCAACUGAGGCACCCCAGGCAAGCUAACCAUUUGGCUCCUGACUCAAUUAGAAAGAGUGCUUAGGGCUUCCCUGGUGGCGCAGUGGUUGAGAGUCCGCCUGCCGAUGCAGGGGACACGGGUUCAUGCCCCGGUCCGGGAAGAUCCCACAUG